This 77-nucleotide transfer RNA is filed under the name Chloroflexota bacterium. RNAcentral describes it as "Chloroflexi bacterium tRNA-Val". It matches the Rfam family "tRNA". Rfam says of the family: Transfer RNA (tRNA) molecules are approximately 80 nucleotides in length. Their secondary structure includes four short double-helical elements and three loops (D, anti-codon, and T loops). RNAcentral also lists the same sequence under 1 other name. The record is from RNAcentral. Lineage: Bacteria; Bacillati; Chloroflexota.
GGGCGAUUAGCUCAGGUGGCUAGAGCGUCCGGUUUACACCCGGGAGGCCGAAGGUUCGAGUCCUUCAUCGCCCACCA